GAAUAUAAUAACUUAAAAUCGAAUGGGACGUAUCCUAUUACUAUAAGUCUGAUAAGUCUGGAUAUGAGGCAUGUCUAGAUUCGUAGUAUUAGGAUACGUCUCAUCCGGUUUUAGGGUGCUAUAUUC
RNAcentral lists this microRNA precursor (126 nucleotides) under Oryza sativa (Asian cultivated rice). Its description in RNAcentral is "miR3981 stem-loop (osa-MIR3981)". The record is from miRBase by way of RNAcentral. Lineage: Eukaryota; Viridiplantae; Streptophyta; Magnoliopsida; Poales; Poaceae.